CUUAUUAGAGCUUUCUUACAAAUAGACGAAAGGUACGAACGAACGUAAAGGGAGCACGUAUUUCAUUUCUACAAUAACAGUUAAAAGAGUCUUUGUUUUAUCCAGUAAAACAGCAUUCUUUUCUAAAUCAAGUUUAUUUUAAAAAAUAAUAAUAUCGCAAAUAAUACACGAUUUUAAUAUAAUCAAACAGAGAAAAAUAGUGUCAAAUACACUUACGUCCGAUACGUUACUUCCGUAAACCACGAGUACACACAUUUCCGCGGG
This 264-nucleotide long non-coding RNA is filed under the name Mytilus galloprovincialis (Mediterranean mussel). Lineage: Eukaryota; Metazoa; Mollusca; Bivalvia; Mytilida; Mytilidae. The record is from RNAcentral.